Molecule: long non-coding RNA, 441 nt
Organism: Pecten maximus
Lineage: Eukaryota; Metazoa; Mollusca; Bivalvia; Pectinida; Pectinidae
Exons: 2
Source: RefSeq, a predicted model, not a curated record
AUCUUUGGUUUUUGAAAACAUGAGCAAAAUAUCAUUCAAAGUAAAUACAAAUGGUUGAUCGUUGGUUUUUAAAACAUGAGCAAAAUUUCAUUUAAAGUGUCAACAAGGCAAUGCACUCAAUACAAUCUCCUUCUAUUCCUAUCAUACAAUCACAUCUGUUAUUCAAAAAACAUACCCCUUAUGAUCUUCAAAUAUUUUGGCUCCAACCCUGGAAGGCAAUAGCAUCACUCAAGAUCUCUUGUUUUUUUGUUUUUGUUUUUUUCUUAUAAGAUGGGCGGAUAGAAAAUCAAAGUACUGAAGUACUGAGGACACAACAAGUUUGUUGAGAAUAGUGAAAUUGUAAUGGCUUGAGUUCAAAUAGUUUGAUGAAAUCUAUUUAGUGUAAAAUUAAAAAAUAAAGAGCAAUAUAGUAAGUGGAGGAAUAUCAUAAAAUUAAAGAAA